CUGAAGUAUACUGACACUAGU
Molecule: non-coding RNA, 21 nt
Filed under: Arabidopsis thaliana (thale cress)
Lineage: Eukaryota; Viridiplantae; Streptophyta; Magnoliopsida; Brassicales; Brassicaceae
Source: RNAcentral